GCGACUGGAAAGGUCCGUCGAAGAAGGUAACAACCCUGUAGUUGAAACUUCGUUCCCUCUUGAGUGGAUCCUGAGUACGGCGGAACACGUGAAAUUCCGUCGGAAGCUGGGAGGACCAUCUCCCAAGGCUAAAUACUACCUAGUGACCGAUAGUGAACCAGUACCGUGAGGGAAAGGUGAAAAGCACCCCGGAAGGGGAGUGAAAGAGAUCCUGAAACCGUGUGCCUACAAGUAGUCAGAGCCCGUUAACGGGUGAUGGCGUGCCUUUUGUAGAAUGAACCGGCGAGUUACGAUCCCAUGCAAGGUUAAGCUGAUAAGGCGGAGCCGUAGCGAAAGCGAGUCUGAAUAGGGCGUUUAGUAUGUGGUUGUAGACCGAAACCAGUGAUCUACCCAUGUCCAGGGUGAAGUUCAGGUAACACUGAAUGGAGGCCCGAACCCACGCACGUUGAAAAGUGCGGGGAUGAGGUGUGGGUAGCGGAGAAAUUCCAAUCGAACCUGGAGAUAGCUGGUUCUCUCCGAAAUAGCUUUAGGGCUAGCCUCAUGUUGUGAGAGUCUUGGAGGUAGAGCACUGAUUGGACUAGGGGCCCAACGGGUUACCGAAUUCAGUCAAACUCCGAAUGCCAAAGACUUAUCCAUGGGAGUCAGACUGCGAGUGAUAAGAUCCGUAGUCAAAAGGGAAACAGCCCAGACCACCAGCUAAGGUCCCCAAGUAUACGUUAAGUGGAAAAGGAUGUGGAGUUGCUUAGACAACCAGGAUGUUGGCUUAGAAGCAGCCACCAUUUAAAGAGUGCGUAAUAGCUCACUGGUCGAGUGACUCUGCGCCGAAAAUGUACCGGGGCUAAACGUAUCACCGAAGCUGUGGAUUGACAUCUUUGAUGUCAGUGGUAGGAGAGCGUUCUAAGUGCUGUGAAGUCAGACCGUAAGGACUGGUGGAGCGCUUAGAAGUGAGAAUGCCGGUAUGAGUAGCGAAAGACAAGUGAGAAUCUUGUCCACCGAAUGCCUAAGGUUUCCUGAGGAAGGCUCGUCCGCUCAGGGUUAGUCGGGACCUAAGCCGAGGCUGAAAAGCGUAGGCGAUGGCCAACAGGUGAUAUUCCUGUACCACCUCCCCGCCGUUUGAGUAAUGGGGGGACGCAGUAGGAUAGGGUAAGCGCGCUGCUGGAUAUGCGCGUUCAAGCAGUUAGGCUGAUGAGUAGGCAAAUCCGCUCGUCAUAAAGGCUGAGCUGUGAUGACGAGGGAAUUAUAGUACCGAAGUUCCUGAUUCCACACUGCCAAGAAAAGCCUCUAGCGAGGCGGGAGGUGCCCGUACCGCAAACCGACACAGGUAGGCGAGGAGAGAAUCCUAAGGUGAUCGAGAGAACUCUCGUUAAGGAACUCGGCAAAAUGACCCGUAACUUCGGGAGAAGGGGUGCUCUGGUAGGGUGUAUAGCCCGAGAGAGCCGCAGUGAAUAGGCCCAGGCGACUGUUUAGCAAAAACACAGGUCUCUGCGAAGCCGCAAGGCGAAGUAUAGGGGCUGACGCCUGCCGGUGCUGGAAGGUUAAGAGGAGGGUUAUCCUUUGGAGAAGCUCUGAAUCGAAGCCCCAGUAAACGGCGGCCGUAACUAUAACGGUCCUAAGGUAGCGAAAUUCCUUGUCGGGUAAGUUCCGACCCGCACGAAAGGCGUAACGAUCUGGGCACUGUCUCAACGAGAGACUCGGUGAAAUUAUAGUACCUGUGAAGAUGCAGGUUACCCGCGACAGGACGGAAAGACCCCGUGGAGCUUUACUGUAGCCUGAUAUUGAAUUUUGGUACAGCUUGUACAGGAUAGGUAGGAGCCUGAGAAGCCGGAGCGCUAGCUUCGGUGGAGGCGUCGGUGGGAUACUACCCUGGCUGUAUUGAAAUUCUAACCCGGCCCUGAUCGGGCCGGGAGACAGUGUCAGGUGGGCAGUUUGACUGGGGCGGUCGCCUCCUAAAAUGUAACGGAGGCGCCCAAAGGUUCCCUCAGAAUGGUUGGAAAUCAUUCGUAGAGUGUAAAGGCACAAGGGAGCUUGACUGCGAGACCUACAAGUCGAGCAGGGACGAAAGUCGGGCUUAGUGAUCCGGUGGUUCCGCAUGGAAGGGCCAUCGCUCAACGGAUAAAAGCUACCCGGGGAUAAAGGCUUAUCUCCCCCAAGAGUCCACAUCGACGGGGAGGUUUGGCACCUCGAUGUCGGCUCAUCGCAUCCUGGGCUGUAGUCGGUCCCAAGGGUUGGGCUGUUCGCCCAUUAAAGCGGUACGCGAGGGUUCAGAACGUCGUGAGACAGUUCGGUCCCUAUCCGUCGUGGGCGUAGGAAAUUUGAGAGGAGCUGUCCUUAGUACGAGAGGACGGGAUGGACACACCGCUGGUGUACCAGUUGUCUUGCCAAAGGCAUCGCUGGGUAGCUAUGUGUGGACGGGAUAAGUGCUGAAAGCAUCUAAGCAUGAAGCCCCCCUCAAGAUGAGAUUUCCCAUAGCGCAAGCUAGUAAGAUCCCUGAAAGAUGAUCAGGUUGAUAGGUCAGAGGUGGAAGCGUGGCGACAUGUGUAGCUGACUGAUACUAAUCGAUCGAGGACUUAACCAAAC
Molecule: ribosomal RNA, 2577 nt
Filed under: Priestia megaterium
Lineage: Bacteria; Bacillati; Bacillota; Bacilli; Caryophanales; Bacillaceae
Description: bacterial LSU rRNA
Rfam family: Bacterial large subunit ribosomal RNA
Source: RNAcentral